Plutella xylostella (diamondback moth) is the source of this 716-nucleotide long non-coding RNA. RefSeq lists it as uncharacterized. The record is from RefSeq and is a predicted model, not a curated record. NCBI's taxonomy places the organism in Eukaryota, Metazoa, Arthropoda, Insecta, Lepidoptera, Plutellidae.
GUCGUUGGAUAGGUCUUGUCAAUAGGAAUAACUUUUGCUUUGACAGCUUUGUUGUCACAGUUGUCCGUUCAGAGAUUUAUGACAUAUAAGUUCCGAUAGGAUAAAAUGUAGUUUUAAAAUUAAUAGUGGAGGAGUGUUGUGUUUGUGGUCAUCGUAUAUGGUGACCUCUUUGUGAGGUGACAGUUCACCUGUCACGCUUAUUAAGAAAAUGGCAGCUAACGAGCAAUUGUAUUAUUAAUUACCGCCAACCCGCAAUGUAUUUUUGAAUUGCAUCACAAUCUGAUAAUAGUUAUGGAAGAUUUCCGCAACUGUGUGAUGUGUAGGCGAGGCCUUUAUCGUGGCAGAUAUCAGCGACAUACUCUGACAGAUAAUAUACCAAAAGCGCAACCAGAGAUUGCUGCAUUCAUACAACAACAUGCAGAGUUGGAGUUCUUCCUAAGGCACAUAGAAUAGGCAUGCUGUCUGUGUAGAAGCAUAUAUUGGAUUUUUUUGUGUCUUUUAUUUGUGUAGCUCCGUCAAAUAGGCUGGCAGCUUCUGCCUUAAAAACAGUAGCUUUGUUCCCGAAACUGACAUAGUAUUCUAAGUUAAGUUACGGGCAGAAUACACCUCCACCGCGGCCCUUUUUGUUUUUUAUCGUCAGAUAUUGUCAUCCAAUAUGCCCAGAUCUCGUCUGAUAGUGUAGAUAGUGUAAUUAUAAUAAUAAAUAAUUAAAUAAU